AAGGCCUACCAAGGCGACGAUGGAUAGCCGGCCUGAGAGGGUGAACGGCCACACUGGGACUGAGACACGGCCCAGACUCCUACGGGAGGCAGCAGCUAAGAAUCUUCCGCAAUGGGCGAAAGCCUGACGGAGCGACGCCGCGUGGACGAGGAAGGCCGAAAGGUUGUAAAGUCCUUUUCUUAGGGAAGAAUAAAGCGAAGAGUGGAAUGCUUCGCAGAUGACAUUAACUUUGGAAUAAGCCCCGGCCAAUUACGUGCCAGCAGCCGCGGUAAUACGUAUGGGGCGAGCGUUGUUCGGAAUUAUUGGGCGUAAAGGGCGUGUAGGCGGUUUUAUAAGCCUGGUGUGAAAUCCCACAGCUCAACUGUGGAGACGCGCUGGGAACUGUAAGACUAGAGUUUAGGAGGGGAAGCUGGAAUUCCUGGUGUAGGGGUGAAAUCUGUAGAUAUCAGGAAGAACACCGAUGGCGAAGGCAAGCUUCUAGCCAUAGACUGACGCUGAGGCGCGAAAGCGUGGGGAGCGAACAGGAUUAGAUACCCUGGUAGUCCACGCUGUAAACGAUGUGCACUGGGUGUAGGAUACGUUAAGUUUUCUGUGCCGUAGCUAACGCGUUAAGUGCACCGCCUGGGGAGUAUGCUCGCAAGGGUGAAACUCAAAGGAAUUGACGGGGGCCCGCACAAGCGGUGGAGCAUGUGGUUUAAUUCGAUAUACGCGAGGAACCUUACCAGGGCUUGACAUGUACUUGAAGGCUUAAGAGAUUAAGUCGACCUUUAGGGGACGGGUACACAGGUGCUGCAUGGCUGUCGUCAGCUCGUGUCGUGAGAUGUUGGGUUAAGUCCCGCAACGAGCGCAACCCUUACUAUCUGUUACCAGCAGGUCUUCGGACGCUGGGGACUCAGAUAGAACUGCCGGUGACAAACCGGAGGAGGGUGGGGAUGACGUCAAGUCACCAUGGCCCUUAUGUCCUGGGCUACACACGUGCUACAAUGGUCGGUACAAAGCGUUGCGAGACGGUGACGUCCUUAGCAAAUCGCAAAAAGCCGAUCUCAGUUCGGAUUGGAGUCUGAAACCCGACUCCAUGAAGUUGGAAUCGCUAGUAAUCGCACAUCAGAAUGGCGCGGUGAAUAUGUUCCCGGGCCUUGUACACACCGCCCGUCACACCACCCGAGUUGGGGGUACCCGAAGUCGCUAGUCUAACUCUUCGGAGAGGACGGCGCCGAAGGUAUGCCUGGUAAGGGGGGUGAAGUCGUAACAAGGUA
This 1256-nucleotide ribosomal RNA is filed under the name metagenome. Its description in RNAcentral is "bacterial SSU rRNA". It matches the Rfam family "Bacterial small subunit ribosomal RNA", at positions 260 to 1498 of the family's 1533-position model. The record is from RNAcentral.